GCAAGUCGAGGGGUAACAGAAUAGCUUGCUAUUGCUGACGACCGGCGCACGGGUGCGUAACGCGUAUAGAGCCUACCUUAAACAGAGGGAUACCCUUUAGAAAUGAAGAUUAAUACCUCAUAGUGUAGCAGAGUGGCAUCACUUUGCUAUUAAAGAUUUAUCAGUUUAAGAUGGCUAUGCGUUCUAUUAGUUAGUUGGUAAGGUAACGGCUUACCAAGACCUCGAUAGAUAGGGGCCCUGAGAGGGGGAUC
This 251-nucleotide ribosomal RNA is filed under the name uncultured bacterium. RNAcentral's name for it is "partial 16S ribosomal RNA". It matches the Rfam family "Bacterial small subunit ribosomal RNA", at positions 57 to 305 of the family's 1533-position model. The record is from RNAcentral.